GAUUAACGCUGGCGGCAUGCCUAAUACAUGCAAAUCGAACGAAGCCUUUUAGGCUUAGUGGUGAACGGGUGAGUAACACGUAUCCAAUCUACCCUUAAGUUGGGGAUAACUAGUCGAAAGAUUAGCUAAUACCGAAUAAUAACAUCAAUAUCGCAUGAGAAGAUGUAGAAAGUCGCUCUUUGUGGCGACGCUUUUGGAUGAGGGUGCGACGUAUCAGAUAGUUGGUGAGGUAAUGGCUCACCAAGUCAAUGACGCGUAGCUGUACUGAGAGGUAGAACAGCCACAAUGGGACUGAGACACGGCCCAUACUCCUACGGGAGGCAGCAGUAGGGAAUUUUUCACAAUGGGCGCAAGCCUUAUGAAGCAAUGCCGCGUGAACGAUGAAGGUCUUAUAGAUUGUAAAGUUCUUUUAUAUGGGAAGAAACGCUAAGAUAGGAAAUGAUUUUAGUUUGACUGUACCAUUUGAAUAAGUAUCGGCUAACUAUGUGCCAGCCGCCGCCGUAACAC
This 507-nucleotide ribosomal RNA is filed under the name uncultured bacterium. Its description in RNAcentral is "bacterial SSU rRNA". It matches the Rfam family "Bacterial small subunit ribosomal RNA", at positions 28 to 526 of the family's 1533-position model. The record is from RNAcentral.